AUACGUAGGGUGCGAGCGUUGUCCGGAAUUACUGGGCGUAAAGAGCUCGUAGGUGGUUUGUCGCGUCGUCUGUGAAAUUCCGGGGCUUAACUCCGGGCGUGCAGGCGAUACGGGCAUAACUUGAGUACUGUAGGGGAGACUGGAAUUCCUGGUGUAGCGGUGAAAUGCGCAGAUAUCAGGAGGAACACCGGGGGCGAAGGGGGGUCUCUGGGCAGUAACUGACGCGGAGGAGCGAAAGCAGGGGUAGCGAACAGGAUUAGAUACCCUGGUAGUCCAUGCCGUAAACGGUGGGCGCUAGGUGUAGGGGUCUUCCACGACUUCUGUGCCGUAGCUAACGCAUUAAGCGCCCCGCCUGGGGAGUACGGCCGCAAGGCUAAAACUCAAAUGAAUUGACGGGG
RNAcentral lists this ribosomal RNA (398 nucleotides) under uncultured bacterium. RNAcentral describes it as "partial 16S ribosomal RNA". It matches the Rfam family "Bacterial small subunit ribosomal RNA", at positions 523 to 918 of the family's 1533-position model. The record is from RNAcentral.